This 74-nucleotide transfer RNA is filed under the name Loxodonta africana (African savanna elephant). It matches the Rfam family "tRNA". Rfam says of the family: Transfer RNA (tRNA) molecules are approximately 80 nucleotides in length. The record is from Rfam by way of RNAcentral. Lineage: Eukaryota; Metazoa; Chordata; Mammalia; Proboscidea; Elephantidae.
CCCUCGGUGGUACUGAUGGUUAAUGCAUUCGGCUGCUCACUGAAAGAUUGGUGGUUCGAGUCCACCCAGAGGUG